GAUGAACGCUGGCGGCGUGCCUAAUACAUGCAAGUCGAGCGAACAGACGAGGAGCUUGCUCCUCUGACGUUAGCGGCGGACGGGUGAGUAACACGUGGAUAACCUACCUAUAAGACUGGGAUAACUUCGGGAAACCGGAGCUAAUACCGGAUAAUAUAUUGAACCGCAUGGUUCAAUAGUGAAAGACGGUUUUGCUGUCACUUAUAGAGGGAUCCGCGCCGCAUGAGAUAGUUGGUAAGGUAACGGCCUACCAAGGCAACGAUGCGUAGCCGACCUGAGAGUGUGAUCGGCCACACUGGAACGGAGACACGGACCAGACUCCUACGGGAGGCAGCAGUAGGGAAUCUUCCGCAAUGGGCGAAAGCCUGACGGAGCAACGCGGCGUGAGUGAUGAAGGUCUUCGGAUCGUAAAACUCUGUUAUUAGGGAAGAACAAAUGUGUAAGUAACUAUGCACGUCUUGACGGUACCUAAUCAGAAAGCCACGGCUAACUACGUG
Molecule: ribosomal RNA, 497 nt
Filed under: uncultured bacterium
Lineage: Bacteria
Description: partial 16S ribosomal RNA
Rfam family: Bacterial small subunit ribosomal RNA
Source: RNAcentral